RNAcentral lists this ribosomal RNA (253 nucleotides) under uncultured bacterium. Its description in RNAcentral is "partial 16S ribosomal RNA". It matches the Rfam family "Bacterial small subunit ribosomal RNA", at positions 524 to 776 of the family's 1533-position model. The record is from RNAcentral.
UACGUAGGUGGCAAGCGUUGUCCGGAUUUACUGGGCGUAAAGAGCGCGCAGGCGGUCGGCCAAGUCGAGUGUGAAAGCCCCCGGCUCAACUGGGGAGGGUCAUUCGAUACUGGUCGACUCGAAGGCAGGAGAGGGAAGCGGAAUUCCCGGUGUAGUGGUGAAAUGCGUAGAUAUCGGGAGGAACACCAGUGGCGAAGGCGGCUUCCUGGCCUGUUCUUGACGCUGAGGCGCGAAAGCUAGGGUAGCAAACGGG